RNAcentral lists this long non-coding RNA (421 nucleotides) under Drosophila guanche. Lineage: Eukaryota; Metazoa; Arthropoda; Insecta; Diptera; Drosophilidae. The record is from RNAcentral.
GGAGGGGGUAAAUAAGUUAGACUAAGUGCAUGCGGCACAGAGCAAAAAUUUGAUUUAAAGUUGAAAGACAUAAUUAAUGUGCGCAUAGAGAAUAUAUAAAAAUCGUUGUGAAAAUUCUGCAAAUAUAAAAGGGAACAUAAAUCCCAGAAAAACAAUCUGAAAAGUUUGGUGGCUGCAGCGAUACAAAAAAAAAAAACAAACCCUGGAUAAGGUACGCAAAGAAUUAAUGGAAAAAGUAACCUUAUUACAUAAUCUCAUGUAUAUACAUAUAAAUAGGUUAUGAACCACGUGGGGCAGUAUAACUGCUGACCUGGCCGUUCUGGGCCUGACCAUCGCUCUCGGACGUGGUCCACUCCAACAUCACGAUCAUCAGUCCCAUCAUUUUUUUGCUACAGCGAUCUCCUCAGUCUCUCCUAUCGAA